Molecule: ribosomal RNA, 253 nt
Filed under: uncultured bacterium
Lineage: Bacteria
Description: partial 16S ribosomal RNA
Rfam family: Bacterial small subunit ribosomal RNA
Source: RNAcentral
UACGAAGGGUGCAAGCGUUACUCGGAAUUACUGGGCGUAAAGCGUGCGUAGGCGGUUUGUUAAGUCUGUCGUGAAAGCCCUGGGCUCAACCUGGGAAUUGCGAUGGAGACUGCAAGGCUGGAGUCUGGCAGAGGGGGGUAGAAUUCCACGUGUAGCAGUGAAAUGCGUAGAGAUGUGGAGGAACACCGAUGGCGAAGGCAGCCCCCUGGGUCAAGACUGACGCUCAUGCACGAAAGCGUGGGGAGCAAACAGG